RNAcentral lists this long non-coding RNA (678 nucleotides) under Mus spretus (western wild mouse). Its description in RNAcentral is "lncRNA (ENSMSPG00010019347.1)". The record is from RNAcentral. Lineage: Eukaryota; Metazoa; Chordata; Mammalia; Rodentia; Muridae.
GAAACGACAACUUUCCUACCAUCUUGGAGGCAGAGGAGAGAGGGGCCAAGGGGAGAAGUGCACCGGCUCCAGCCAGAUAAAGUCCAAAUUUCUACCUCUCAUCGCUGGAAAAAAGCCCAUACUUGAGAAAAAGCAGGGAAGAAACAGAAAGGAGGUCGUGUGCUCCGUGGUGGGGAAUGUUUCUGCACCUUCUGAUGGAAAGAAAUCUUUACAAGACACAGAACACACGGAGAAUUUUAAUGUACACAUGCAAGAACAAAAGCCUGUGAAGCUGGAACGCAACUGUAGCAUUAAACAGCGGUGCCUCAAAACGUGGAUUUGUACCAACUAGAAGAACAACAUCUGCUUCUUCCACACCAGCAAUUGUGGUAUUGAGAAGAUAAUUGGAACGAAACCGAUAGCUGAGAACAGCUUUAACACUCAUCUUCAAUCCAAGUACUUAGGAGGUAAAGACAGAAAGUUCUUCUGCUACACAGAGUUCAAGGCCAGCCUGGGCUACAAGAAACUCAAAAAUCAAAAUGAAAUCCAAAACAGCAGCCUGGAGCACAGCUUAAUGCUUCUCACCCAGCUCCUUCAGUGGGGAAGAUCUCUUCAGUGCAUAAGUUGUCAGAGUCAACUUUAUUAAGCAAGUCUUUCAGAGCUACUAAGGCUUCAGCAUCCACCAAGCCUCCUGCAAUC